RNAcentral lists this non-coding RNA (66 nucleotides) under Caldimonas manganoxidans. RNAcentral's name for it is "Xanthine-I sequence". It matches the Rfam family "Xanthine riboswitch aptamer (NMT1 RNA)". From Rfam's summary of the family: Later it was reported as a ncRNA that recognised Xanthine. Lineage: Bacteria; Pseudomonadati; Pseudomonadota; Betaproteobacteria; Burkholderiales; Sphaerotilaceae. RNAcentral also lists the same sequence under 1 other name. The record is from RNAcentral.
GGCAAGAGUAGAAGCGUUCACCGUCCUGGUGCCCCAAGCUCAGAACGGCCGGAAAUUGCUCUUGAA